RNAcentral lists this ribosomal RNA (420 nucleotides) under uncultured Glomeraceae. RNAcentral's name for it is "SSU rRNA". It matches the Rfam family "Eukaryotic small subunit ribosomal RNA", at positions 459 to 886 of the family's 1831-position model. Lineage: Eukaryota; Fungi; Glomeromycota; Glomeromycetes; Glomerales; Glomeraceae. The record is from RNAcentral.
GGGAGGUAGUGACAAUAAAUAACAAUACGGGGUUCUUCGAAUCUCGUAAUUGGAAUGAGUACAAUUUAAAUCUCUUAACGAGGAACAAUUGGAGGGCAAGUCUGGUGCCAGCAGCCGCGGUAAUUCCAGCUCCAAUAGCGUAUAUUAAAGUUGUUGCAGUUAAAAAGCUCGUAGUUGAAUUUCGGGGUCAGCAGGUUGGUCUUGCCACUGGUAUGUACUAGCCUGCCGAUUCCUCCUUCUUGUAGAACCGUAAUGCCAUUAAUUUGGUGUUGCGGGGAAACAGGACUGUUACUUUGAAAAAUUAGAGUGUUUAAAGCAGGCUAGCGCCUGAAUACAUUAGCAUGGAAUAAUGAAAUAGGACGUUCGAACCUAUUUUGUUGGUUUCUAGGAUUGACGUAAUGAUUAAUAGGGAUAGUUGGG